This is an RNA transcript of Symphalangus syndactylus (siamang), 992 nucleotides long. It is a transcript of the gene named cystatin like 1, with no coding region annotated. NCBI's taxonomy places the organism in Eukaryota, Metazoa, Chordata, Mammalia, Primates, Hylobatidae. The record is from RefSeq and is a predicted model, not a curated record.
GGGGGAUCCCGCAGGCAGAAAUCUGUGGUGGGCGGGUGGCAGGUGAGCAAGGAGAACGUGUCUCUAAAGGAAGCACAGGGAGCAGGUGGUGGCUUUGUAAGACAGUUGGAACCCAAGGAAGGCAGGCCAUCCCCCAGGAAAGCCUAUGUUGGUGAGGGUUAUGGUGGGAGAACGAGUGAGCUACUGCCUGGCACCACCACACUCUGGAAGGUGCAGUUGGGAGGAAGGUUUCUGAGGCUGUAGACAUGGGGAUCGGAUGCUGGAGAAACCCCCUGCUGCUGCUGAUCGCCCUGGUCCUGUUGGCCAAGCUGGGUCACUUCCAAAGCUGGGAGGGCUUCCAGCAGAAGCCCAUGAGCAAGAAGAACAUGAAUUCAACGCUCGACUUCUUCAUUCAAUCCUACAACAAUGCCAGCAAUGACACCUACUUAUAUCGAGUCCAGAAGCUAAUUCGAAGUCAGAUGCAGCUGACGACGGGAGUGGAGUAUAUAGUCACUGUGAAGAUUGGCCGGACCAAAUGCAAGAGGAAUGACACGAGCAAUUCUUCCUGCCCCCUGCAAAGCAGGAAGCUGAGAAAGCCGCUCAUAUUCCUGGACUCUGCUGAAGAGCAAUCUCCUCCAGGAAGUGCCUUCUGAUUGCCUGGCCCACCUUCUGCCCAAGCUAACACGGAUACCACUGCUCUCUGGCCACACUUCUAUCAAAACAUGCAAGCUGUUCUCCUUCCACUGCUCUUCGGCUCUGCCUCUGGAACCUCACUUUGAAUCCCUUGGGACAACAAAGUCAGACUGGCUGGACUCACAUCUGGCUCCACCAUUGACCAGCUGGGUGGCUGUGGGCAAAUUACUUACAUUCAACGUGCCUCAGUCUUCUCACCUGCAAAAUGGACAUUGCCACAGCCAUCCCAACCUUCAGCAACCACCAGUCUGACCAGUCAGCAACCACCAAAAUCAAGGCAAGACUCUCCACCAGCAAAAGGAUUAUGACUCACUGAAGGC